Molecule: long non-coding RNA, 626 nt
Filed under: Fragaria vesca (wild strawberry)
Lineage: Eukaryota; Viridiplantae; Streptophyta; Magnoliopsida; Rosales; Rosaceae
Description: long non-coding RNA (FVES_LNC000041)
Source: RNAcentral
GUUACUUUAGUUAAUAGGAUCCUAAACCCUUCAUUAGUACCUUUUCAAGGGUCUUUUGGAGUUGAGGGCGGAUCUUAUUAACUCUUGUACGAUUGUUAAACAUUCAAGUGUUUCCUAACUGAGUAAGGGACAUUUUGGAUGGUGGCUAGGUCUGAGUAAGCGCCUGGGACCAAAAUUGGACUUCAAAGGGUUAUAGACUGUGCGUAAGCACGAUAGGGGUUUCAACCUCCGUAGCCCAUUACAAACGAAGUCCUACCAGCCCGUUUCACUUCGACCUGGCCAUCCAAGUCUUCUGAAACCACGGAAACAUUUGUAUCAAGACAUUCAUACCUAUUUAUCAUUGGUUUACCACUUAAGAUUCGAGUUUGAAAAUUUAUAAAACUUAUAACUGUUAACUCAAACAGAUCGUUGUAAUUUAGAACCUUUGAAAAAUGUUGUUUACUUAGUUCUAAGUCCUUUUAUGUUUGAGCUCGUUUUUAAAUUUUAGUUACUUUGUUUAUGUUUAAUUUUUAUUCUUAUCUUGUUAUUUCAUUUCUGUAGGGUUAUGAAUGUUCGAUAAGGAAAUUCGUGUUCCUGGAUCAACUGACGCAGCUUUCAAGAACUUGACGGAGCGGUUACAGCGCNNN